CUUAUCUGGUAAAGCGAAUGAUUAAAGGCCUUAGGGCCGAAACGACCUUAACCUAUUCUCAAACUUUAAAUGGGUAAGAACCUUGCCUUACUUGAUAUGAAGGUACAGGUUAUGAUAUAUUGUGCCCAGUGGGCCACUUUUGGUAAGCAAACUGGCGCUGUGGGAUGAACCAAACGUGAUGUUACGGCGCCAAAAUUAACAACUCAUACUGAUACCAUGAAAGGCGUUGCUUGCUUAAUACAGCAGGACGGUGGACAUGGAAUUCGUAAUCCGAUAAGGAGUGUGUAACAACUCACCUGCCGAACCAACUAGCCCUUAAAAUGGAUGGCGCUUAAGUUGUAUGCCUAUACAUCACCGCUAAAACAUAUGAUUUA
RNAcentral lists this ribosomal RNA (374 nucleotides) under Chrysops vittatus. RNAcentral describes it as "eukaryotic LSU rRNA". It matches the Rfam family "Eukaryotic large subunit ribosomal RNA", at positions 1000 to 1376 of the family's 3401-position model. The record is from RNAcentral. Lineage: Eukaryota; Metazoa; Arthropoda; Insecta; Diptera; Tabanidae.